ACAAUAUAACUUUUUAUUUUAAUACACUUAAAAACAUCAAACUGUGGAGCCCAUAAAAGAAAAUGGCCUAUGAUUUUUUUAAUAAAAUAAGUUUCUUGUGCACACCAGCAACUAACCUGCGCUCACAAGAAAAUGUCUUCUGUUCUUGAGAAAGUUUAUCAUGUGUGCACACACGAGCAAGUGCUCAUAUGAAACUUUAGGCUCUGGCUUACAGAGAUGGCAAAAUAGCUUCUGGCUCGUCCUCUGAGACGGGAUGGCUGAAACUUUCUGGUGCACACACAGUACUUUCUAGUGGUCAUGAGAAACUUUGUCGUGCGCAAGCAAAACGUUCUCAUAAGAAUGACAAACGUUCUCUUGCUCACAGAAUUGUUUCAGUGUGUGUGAAUAUAGUUUUCCAUGCACAUCUCAUUUAAAAUGUUAUUUCUGCCCAUUAUCCUUUAGGGGCUCCGUAUCAAACAGGAAUUUAGUGAAUUAAUAUAACAACUAAACUGAGAAAAAUAAAAUGUAAAGAAGAGAAAACAAGUCCAAAGGCAGAGGCUCGUCCAGCUUUGCUGCUUUUAUUGUUCUCAGGAGUUAUCAAGUUUAGAGUUUGUUUUCUGAAUUAUACACAAGAUCAUAAAGUGAUUCUGCUACUGUCACUGAGUGUUAUUGUCCUUUAUGGGUAGUGAAAAAAAUUCUCAAUGAAGCAUGGUACACAUAUUUUUUUAUUAUUCAUCAUGAAGCCAAAAAUAAACCCCUGCAAACCCUUCUUUAAGUAGCUUUAGGUUUAAAAAA
Labrus bergylta (ballan wrasse) is the source of this 774-nucleotide non-coding RNA. NCBI's taxonomy places the organism in Eukaryota, Metazoa, Chordata, Actinopteri, Labriformes, Labridae. The record is from RefSeq and is a predicted model, not a curated record.